UUUGACGUUACSGACAGAAUAAGCACCGGCUAACUUSGUGCCAGCAGCCGCGGUAAUACGAAGGGKGCAAGCGUUAAUSGGAAUUACUGGGCGUAAAGCGCGCGUAGGUGGUUCAGCAAGUUGGAUGUGAAAGCCCCGGGCUCAACCUGGGAACUGCAUCCAAAACUACUGAGCUAGAGUAUGGUAGAGGGUGGKGGAAUUUCCUGUGUAGCGGUGAAAUGCGUAGAUAUAGGAAGGAACACCAGUGGCGAAGGCGACCACCUGGACUGAUACUGRCACUGAGGUGCGAAAGCGUUGGGAGCAAACAGGAUUAGAUACCCUGGUAGUCCACGCCGUAAACGAUGUCAACUAGUUGUUGGGUUCCUUGAGAACU
This 373-nucleotide ribosomal RNA is filed under the name uncultured bacterium. Its description in RNAcentral is "bacterial SSU rRNA". It matches the Rfam family "Bacterial small subunit ribosomal RNA", at positions 468 to 840 of the family's 1533-position model. The record is from RNAcentral.